RNAcentral lists this ribosomal RNA (2887 nucleotides) under Salinivibrio kushneri. Its description in RNAcentral is "23S ribosomal RNA". It matches the Rfam family "Bacterial large subunit ribosomal RNA". Lineage: Bacteria; Pseudomonadati; Pseudomonadota; Gammaproteobacteria; Vibrionales; Vibrionaceae. The record is from RNAcentral.
GGUUAAGUGAUUAAGCGUAGACGGUGGAUGCCUUGGCAGUCAGAGGCGAUGAAGGACGUACUAACCUGCGAAAAGCGAUGGUGAGCUGGUAAGAAGCAUUUGAGCCAUCGAUGUCCGAAUGGGGAAACCCACCUGCAUAAGCAGGUAUCUUAGCGUAAAUACAUAGCGCUAAGAGGCGAACUCGGGGAACUGAAACAUCUAAGUACCCGAAGGAAAAGAAAUCAAUUGAGAUUCCGGCAGUAGCGGCGAGCGAACCCGGAGCAGCCCUUAAGCGGCUUAGGCGUUAGGUGAACAGGUUGGAAAACCUGGCAAUAAAGGGUGAUAGCCCCGUAACCGACGGCGCCUUAGGCGUGAAAACGAGUAAGACGGGACACGUGAUAUCUUGUCUGAACAUGGGGGGACCAUCCUCCAAGGCUAAAUACUCCUGACUGACCGAUAGUGAACCAGUACCGUGAGGGAAAGGCGAAAAGAACCCCUGUGAGGGGAGUGAAAUAGAACCUGAAACCGUCUACGUACAAGCAGUGGGAGCCUCCUUUGUGGGGUGACCGCGUACCUUUUGUAUAAUGGGUCAGCGACUUAAUGUAAGUAGCAAGGUUAACCGCAUAGGGGAGCCGUAGGGAAACCGAGUCUUAACUGGGCGACAGUUGCUUGCAUUAGACCCGAAACCGAGUGAUCUAGCCAUGGGCAGGUUGAAGGUUGAGUAACAUCAACUGGAGGACCGAACUCACUAACGUUGAAAAGUUAGGAGAUGACCUGUGGCUAGGGGUGAAAGGCCAAUCAAACUCGGAGAUAGCUGGUUCUCCCCGAAAGCUAUUUAGGUAGCGCCUCGGACGAAUACUACUGGGGGUAGAGCACUGUUAAGGCUAGGGGGUCAUCCCGACUUACCAACCCUUUGCAAACUCCGAAUACCAGUAAGUACUAUCCGGGAGACACACGGCGGGUGCUAACGUCCGUCGUGGAGAGGGAAACAACCCAGACCGCCAGCUAAGGUCCCAAAGUUAUCGCUAAGUGGGAAACGAUGUGGGAAGGCUCAGACAGCCAGGAUGUUGGCUUAGAAGCAGCCAUCAUUUAAAGAAAGCGUAAUAGCUCACUGGUCGAGUCGGCCUGCGCGGAAGAUGUAACGGGGCUAAGCGAUACACCGAAGCUGCGGCAAUGUCCUUAUGGAUAUUGGGUAGGGGAGCGUUGUGUAAGCUGUUGAAGGUGUGCUGAGAGGCAUGCUGGAGGUAUCACAAGUGCGAAUGCUGACAUGAGUAACGAUAAAGGGGGUGAAAAACCUCCUCGCCGGAAGACCAAGGGUUCCUGUCCAACGUUAAUCGGGGCAGGGUAAGUCGGCCCCUAAGGCGAGGCCGAAAGGCGUAGUCGAUGGGAAACGGGUUAAUAUUCCCGUACUGCUACUUACUGCGAUGGGGGGACGGAGAAGGCUAGGUGGGCCUGGCGAUGGUAGUCCAGGUUCAAGUGCGUAGGCUGAUUUCUUAGGCAAAUCCGGGAAAUCAAGGCCGAGACACGAUGUCGAGCCACCAAGGUGGUGAAGUCAUUGAUGCCAUGCUUCCGGGAAAAGCCUCUAAGCUUCAGGUAAGUAGCAACCGUACUCCAAACCGACACAGGUGGUCGGGUAGAGAAUACCAAGGCGCUUGAGAGAACUCGGGUGAAGGAACUAGGCAAAAUGGUACCGUAACUUCGGGAGAAGGUACGCUGCCCGCGGUGAAGUCCCUUGCGGAUGGAGCUAUGGGCAGUCGCAGAUACCAGGUGGCUGCAACUGUUUAUUAAAAACACAGCACUGUGCAAAAUCGAAAGAUGACGUAUACGGUGUGACGCCUGCCCGGUGCCGGAAGGUUAAUUGAUGUGGUUAUCGCAAGAGAAGCCAUUGAUUGAAGCCCCGGUAAACGGCGGCCGUAACUAUAACGGUCCUAAGGUAGCGAAAUUCCUUGUCGGGUAAGUUCCGACCUGCACGAAUGGCGUAAUGAUGGCCACGCUGUCUCCACCCGAGACUCAGUGAAAUUGAAAUCGCAGUGAAGAUGCUGUGUACCCGCGGCUAGACGGAAAGACCCCGUGAACCUUUACUACAGCUUGGCACUGAACAUUGAGCCUACAUGUGUAGGAUAGGUGGGAGGCUUUGAAGCGGCGACGCCAGUUGCUGUGGAGCCAUCCUUGAAAUACCACCCUUGUAUGUUUGAUGUUCUAACUUAGCCCCGUUAUCCGGGGUGAGGACAGUGCCUGGUGGGUAGUUUGACUGGGGCGGUCUCCUCCCAAAGCGUAACGGAGGAGCACGAAGGUGGGCUAAUCACGGUCGGACAUCGUGAGGUUAGUGCAAUGGCAUAAGCCCGCUUAACUGCGAGAGUGACGGCUCGAGCAGGUACGAAAGUAGGUCAUAGUGAUCCGGUGGUUCUGAAUGGAAGGGCCAUCGCUCAACGGAUAAAAGGUACUCCGGGGAUAACAGGCUGAUACCGCCCAAGAGUUCAUAUCGACGGCGGUGUUUGGCACCUCGAUGUCGGCUCAUCACAUCCUGGGGCUGAAGUCGGUCCCAAGGGUAUGGCUGUUCGCCAUUUAAAGUGGUACGCGAGCUGGGUUUAGAACGUCGUGAGACAGUUCGGUCCCUAUCUGCCGUGGGCGUUGGAUGAUUGAGGGGAGCUGCUCCUAGUACGAGAGGACCGGAGUGGACGAACCGCUGGUGUUCGGGUUGUGUCGCCAGACGCAUUGCCCGGUAGCUAAGUUCGGCACAGAUAAGCGCUGAAAGCAUCUAAGCGCGAAGCUGGCCCCGAGAUGAGUCAUCCCUAGAGCUUCGAGCUCUCUAAAGGGUUGUCGUAGACGACGACGUUGAUAGGCAGGGUGUGUAAGCGCUGUGAGGCGUUGAGCUAACCUGUACUAAUUGCCCGUGAGGCUUAACCAU